Molecule: small RNA, 82 nt
Filed under: Kaistella chaponensis
Lineage: Bacteria; Pseudomonadati; Bacteroidota; Flavobacteriia; Flavobacteriales; Weeksellaceae
Description: Chryseobacterium chaponense Flavo-1 RNA
Rfam family: Flavo-1 RNA
Source: RNAcentral
UUUUAGCCCCGAUUGAAGGGAAAAUCCUUUUUCUUUUUUUCGAGAAAAAAGAAAAAGAUUGGAAUGAAAAGCGGGACUGCUC